Molecule: long non-coding RNA, 927 nt
Organism: Choloepus didactylus (southern two-toed sloth)
Lineage: Eukaryota; Metazoa; Chordata; Mammalia; Pilosa; Megalonychidae
Exons: 3
Source: RefSeq, a predicted model, not a curated record
CACAGUGCCAGGUUCUGAUCGUUACAGGGCCGCCUCGGUGAACAUAAGCCAGAGGGAGGGUUUCAUUCCACAUGAAGCUGCCAAAAGUUUGUGCUAGCUUGGUGUAUAGGUUUGAUUAAAAGCCUUUGUUCCACAGUUUUUGGGGAAAACAGACACAAGUGCACUCUUCCAGACCACUCUACCCACUAGGUCAGAGGGAAAUUUCAUCUUCUGAAGUAAGUGCUACCUCUUGUCUGUUCCUAGGGACCUCUGCAGAGACUGAGAAGAAGACAGUUUUGCAGGUUGUUAUCUGCCAAGAUGUUACACUUGCAGGGCCCACAGAUGCUUCAGAUGCUAGAGAAAUCCUUGAGGAAGAGCCUCCCUGAAUCCUUAAAGGUUUAUGGGACCGUCUUCCACAUGAACCAGGGAAACCCAUUCAAGCUAAAGGCCCUGGUGGACAAGUGGCCUGAUUUUAAUACAGUGGCUGUCCGACCUCAGGAGCAGGUGAAGUACCAGAUGUGAAAUGAGUAUGCUUUUGUGUUUAUAUUUGCUGUGUGCCUCCUAUGUGCCUGGCAAUGUGGCAGGCCCUGGGGAAACAGAAAUGAAUCACAGGUAUGGUGAACAAGUCCAUGUCCUCAAAAAGCUCACAGCCUGGAGGAAAACACAGAGAAGACAGUAAAUUACAACAGAUGUGAAAAUGUGCAAGAAUAUUUGAACGGUCAAGGUAACAGAAGUAGCACUAGGAGAAAAUCAUUUAAAACUAUAGAGAUUUAAAACUAAAGAGAUUCAGGAAAAGGAUCAGAGAGUUUUCCUGGUAGAUGUUUGCCAAAACUGGAAUUUGAAGGUAAGUUUUUGACAGGCUUACAAGGGCAGGGGAUCCAUUUUAAGCAGACAAAAUCACAUGUACCAAUAUGUAAAAGUACGAAACAGUACAGAGUGUUAGGAAAA